CAGAAGUCAGGUCGGAUUAAGCCAUAGUACGGGAAAAACUAUGCUACCUGUGAGCCCCGUCCAAGGACGUUAAAAGAAGUCAGGCCACUACAAGUGCCAUAGCUUGAGCAAACUAUGCAGCCUGUAGCUCCACCUGAGAAGGUGUAAAAAAUCUGGGAGGCCACAAACCAUGGAAGCUGUACGCAUGGCGUAGUGGACUAGCGGUUAGAGGAGACCCCUCCCUUACAAAUCGCAGCAACAAUGGGGGCCCAAGGUGAGAUGAAGCUGUAGUCUCACUGAAAGGACUAGAGG
Molecule: long non-coding RNA, 291 nt
Filed under: dengue virus type 2
Lineage: Riboviria; Orthornavirae; Kitrinoviricota; Flasuviricetes; Amarillovirales; Flaviviridae
Description: Dengue virus 2 partial sfRNA1
Rfam family: Flavivirus DB element (bases 156-227)
Source: RNAcentral